Molecule: non-coding RNA, 786 nt
Organism: Drosophila suzukii
Lineage: Eukaryota; Metazoa; Arthropoda; Insecta; Diptera; Drosophilidae
Source: RefSeq, a predicted model, not a curated record
AUUCAUAUUUCAUAAGCCUAGAAAAUAUUCCUGAGAAAUUAAUGCUGUUUUCUGGGUCAUAGGUAAGCCCCACUAUAGGGUAUCGGCCUAUUCGUAUCACCCCUAGUUAUUUUGCUCUGUGUAUAGGAAACAUUUCACACGCUGCUUUUUGCCAAGCACUUGACUGUUGAGUGGCGAUUGUUGUUGCUGUUGUUGUUGUUGUUGCUGUCGAAAAUGUUGGGGUUCGUUGCCGUUGUCGACGGUAUAGCAUAGUUUUUGUUGUUGUUCCUGGUGUUCUCUGGUUAUAUAGUAUAGGUAUAGCCCCAUUUGGUACUGCUCUGUUGCCAGUUGCUCGCGUGUGCUGUGUGUUAUCAACUUCAGUUCAGUUGCUGGCUGCAAGGCGCGACGCUUGCACGUUCGUCGUCUGUCUGCCAGAAGUCUGCUGCCCGGGAAAUAAUAUCGGGUAUAUGGAGGGGUGGAGGGGGGCUAUACCUACUAUACCUCUCACCGGGGUAAUCGGUUUGAGUUCAUUUUCAUUUAAAUGGAAUUAAAUAUGGUAAAUGAUGAAAUCAAGGCGGGCGAGUGAGACAGCAGCUGUCGUGUGUGGUGAGGUUUACAAACAUACAUACAUAUAGCCCCCCCUACAUACAUACGUACAUACACCAUAUUAUACACAGAGAGAUAUAGAGAUGCUUUUUGUGUGUGGUGAAGAUAUUAGCUCACCGAUUUUCCGCCAACAAUGCAGGUGCGCUGCAAUAGGCCCAAAUCGCUGGUAUUUCGUUUGCUGCGCAUUCUUCGGCUGCUGAU